This is a long non-coding RNA of Betta splendens (Siamese fighting fish), 1185 nucleotides long. RefSeq lists it as uncharacterized. Lineage: Eukaryota; Metazoa; Chordata; Actinopteri; Anabantiformes; Osphronemidae. The transcript is spliced from 3 exons. The record is from RefSeq and is a predicted model, not a curated record.
CACAGAAACAAGUGGAGCUGAGACGGAGAUAAUAGAGUAGAGGGAGCGAGGAAGGACAGAAAGCAGAGAGGGUGAACAGGGAGGGAGGACAUGGGUGAUGCUAUUGGUCAUGGGGGGGGGGGGGGGCAUUAAAAGGAGGAGGCGUCUGAAGAUUGGGAAUUAAACGCUACGAGCGUCGAGCCCCGUGUCCUCGGCACGUGCACCGGGCCUCAAGAAUAAAAGGAGGUCCAGCCCAUCUGGCUGCGUGAAGGAGGAAGAAAGGGGAGCGAGAGAGGCCGAGAGACAUUCACUGACAGUGGGUGAGAGAGAUUCUGGAUCGCCCCAUGGGAUGAGGCAGAUUCAAUCUGAUGGUAAAAAUGUAUUCAGAAACAGCUUCAAUAAGACACACUCACCUUUAAUCUAAACGUGUCCUUCAGAAGAUUUUGCUAAACCUUCACAGUCUUCUGCCCACACUCACACCCUUUACCUCUGCUGCACUCGGCAUCUUGGCUGUUUCCAUGGCGACUGCAACCAGAAAAAGGGGGGCACGUGUGUGCGGACACCACCACCACCAGCAGCAGCAGCAGCGGCGGCAGCAGCAGGUCAUAGAGAAAGAAGAAAGAAAGAAAAACAGAGAGCGCAGCCGUCAUUAAAGGAGAAAACAGACCUCAGCAGGAGGAAGAGCUGGUCAUUCACAGGGAGGUGAGACGGCACAUAGAGUCCACCCCUGAAAAGGCCUGAAGCGCAGCCUGUUUUUACCACAUUUACAAUUACUCUCUACCAAACAUGGCGCCUGCUUCAUAUUUGUCAGUCUGGCUUUGCUGUUUUCACACACAUUAAUAAAAACAGAGACCUCUGACACCUUUCUCACAUUUACAGUAGUUGCUAUUAAGCAGUGAGACAGAUGUGGAGGGACCUUUGUCUCUCCAGAUGUUCUCCAGACGUUCUCCAGAUGUUCUCCAGAUGCUUUAUCUUUACUCUGGGUGUGGCUGCUCCAGGUUUCCGUCCUCUCGGCUUCAGCUCAGGAGCAGAAUGAAGAGAAAAUGUACAGCGUUAAUAUGACCACUGAGUGGCAUUAGGCCAAAACCACACUGUGACAGAGACAUCAGAGCCGGAGCAGCAGCAGUUUAAGGUCACGGAGCCAGAGUCCGGCCUCGGCCCCGUGAACAAGAGAGAGAAGUGAGACUUUAGCAGCAAUAAGUCAAA